AUACCUACGGGAGGCAGCAGUGGGGGAUAUUGCACAAUGGGGGGAACCCUGAUGCAGCGACGCCGCGUGGGUGAAGGAGCGUUUCGGCGCGUAAAGCCCUAUCGGCAGGGGAGAAGAUGACGGGACCUGACCAAGAAGCCCCGGCUAACUACGUGCCAGCAGCCGCGGUAAUACGGAGGGGGGAAGCGGUAUCCGGAUUUACUGGGUGUAAAGGGGGCGCAGACGGGAAUGCAAGCCAGGAGUGAAAGCCCGG
Molecule: ribosomal RNA, 253 nt
Filed under: uncultured bacterium
Lineage: Bacteria
Description: partial 16S ribosomal RNA
Rfam family: Bacterial small subunit ribosomal RNA
Source: RNAcentral